This 440-nucleotide ribosomal RNA is filed under the name uncultured bacterium. RNAcentral's name for it is "partial 16S ribosomal RNA". It matches the Rfam family "Bacterial small subunit ribosomal RNA", at positions 338 to 795 of the family's 1533-position model. The record is from RNAcentral.
CCUACGGGUGGCAGCAGUGGGGAAUAUUGCACAAUGGGGGAAACCCUGACCCAGCGACGCCGCGUGAGUGAAGAAGUAAUUCGUUAUGUAAAGCUCUAUUAGCAGGGAAGAAAAUGACGGUACCUGAGUAAGAAGCACUGGCUAACUAUGUGCCAGCAGCCGCGGUAAUACGUAGGGGGCAAAAGUUAUCCGGAUUUACUUGGUGUAAAGGGGGCGUAGACGGCCGUGCAAGUCUGGAGUUAAAGGCGGGGGCUCAACCCCCGGACUGCUUUGGAAACUGUACGGCUGGAGUGCAGGAGAGGUAAGUGGAAUUCCUAGUGUAGCGGUGAAAUGCGUAGAGAUUAGGAGGAACACCAGUGGCGAAGGCGGCUUACUGGACUGUAACUGACGUUGAGGCUCGAAAGCGUGGGGAGCAAACAGGAUUAGAUACCCUAGUAGUC